This 728-nucleotide long non-coding RNA is filed under the name Homo sapiens (human). Lineage: Eukaryota; Metazoa; Chordata; Mammalia; Primates; Hominidae. The record is from RNAcentral.
GCGGAUGGGCUUGGGGCGCACCCAGCGAGCAGCGAGAGUCGCGGUGUCCCGGGCGCUCGCUGGCACCGUGGCCGCAGCGGCCGGCCUGGGAGCCAGGAGGGCGAGGCGGCUGCACCUUCGGGGCCAGAUUGGAGUUCGAAGAGUGGCGGGUACCCCAGAAGCUCGGGGCCGGGGCGAUGGCUGCAGCCUCGGGAGGGUAUCGCCGGAUCGAACUCCGGGAAAGGGAAGCAAAGGCAUGGAACCUCCGCACACUGGAUGAGAAUCCAUCUUCCAUUCGAGCUGGGAAUAGACUUUGUGAAAGAUAUUAUGUAAUGGAGUCUCGGGAACCCUGAGACCUCUCCAGCGAAGCUGAAGUGAAUUAAUUAAGUGCUUUAAACGGUCUUGGUAAAUAUUCCGCGGGAGCUGGGGAGGACCGUUGGGAUGGCUGUAGCUUGAGUUGAAUUUUAACUGUCCUCAUUCUGGGUUUUGUCGCUCUGCUUUCUGUGCCAAGGUGCUGUGUUACGGGAGAGAGUGACUGGAAAGUAACAAAGCUGAAUCUUUCUCCCUGGAGUAAGGCCGAAGACUGGAUUACUACACGCCUAGACGUGACACUACACCCAUAGAUCUCAUGCAUCAUUAAUGCCAUAUGACAUUGCCAUUUUCUUUCUCAGUUCACGGACAAAAGUGGUGGGUUUUCAUUGUCUUCACUGAUUGUCAAUGCAUUAAUAAAGAAGAUGUGUGGUACAUAG